AUGACAGCCCCGCAGCACCACACAAACCCCAUUACCAACCCCAGAAAGCUGGCAAAAGGAGAAGAAGAAAAAAAAAAAGGGCAAAACAAAAACAAAACGGACGCAGAAGCAGCACGGGGCCUGCUCUGUGAGGGAGCGGCGCACUACAAGCCCCACAACGCCUUUCGGGCCGCGGGCAUGCGCCGCCGCCGCCACCGCCACCCCGGGGCUCCACAGCGCGGCGGGCGAGGGGCCGCCGCCUCCCGCUGCCGCCGCCGGAGGGGGCGGUCGGGGCGGCACGGCACGGCGGGGCCGGGCCGGAGGCAGCCGCCGGAGGCAGACCUUCGCUGCUGGUGGCAGGACGUGCUCCCUCCUGUGUCAGCGCACCGUCGGCUCCAACACUGUCCUGCAGCUGCCUCUCCUGUCCUGGCAGAGAACUGGUCUAGUCGUGUACUUUAAGCACCUGCCUAAGUGGUCACAGCAUAGCGCAUCAGUUCUGUGCCAUCAGAGGAUCACGUUUCAAAAUUACAACUUUUCUUCUGAACAAGGAGGGGAAAAAAAGGGUUCCUGGUUACCAUGGUGAUGAGCGCUUCAGAAAUGUCUAUAAAUAAAUAAAGUAAACAGCUGAUUGUUGGACUUUGA
Molecule: long non-coding RNA, 621 nt
Filed under: Anser cygnoides (Swan goose)
Lineage: Eukaryota; Metazoa; Chordata; Aves; Anseriformes; Anatidae
Description: lncRNA (ENSACDG00005009635.1)
Source: RNAcentral